RNAcentral lists this ribosomal RNA (468 nucleotides) under uncultured bacterium. Its description in RNAcentral is "partial 16S ribosomal RNA". It matches the Rfam family "Bacterial small subunit ribosomal RNA", at positions 28 to 507 of the family's 1533-position model. The record is from RNAcentral.
GACGAACGCUGGCGGCGUGCUUAACACAUGCAAGUCGAACGGAAAGGCCCUGCUUUUGUGGGGUGCUCGAGUGGCGAACGGGUGAGUAACACGUGAGUAACCUGCCCUUGACUUUGGGAUAACUUCAGGAAACUGGGGCUAAUACCGGAUAGGAGCUCCUGCUGCAUGGUGGGGGUUGGAAAGUUUCGGCGGUUGGGGAUGGACUCGCGGCUUAUCAGCUUGUUGGUGGGGUAGUGGCUUACCAAGGCUUUGACGGGUAGCCGGCCUGGGAGGGUGACCGGCCACAUUGGGACUGAGAUACGGCCCAGACUCCUACGGGAGGCAGCGGUGGGGAAUAUUGCACAAUGGGCGGGAGCCUGAUGCAGCAACGCCGCGUGCGGGAUGACGGCCUUCGGGUUGUAAACCGCUUUCGCCUGUGACGAAGCGUGAGUGACGGUAAUGGGUAAAGAAGCACCGGCUAACUACGUG